This 87-nucleotide non-coding RNA is filed under the name Pseudomonas mandelii. The record is from RNAcentral. Lineage: Bacteria; Pseudomonadati; Pseudomonadota; Gammaproteobacteria; Pseudomonadales; Pseudomonadaceae.
GUUUAUGGCGGCUGUGCGUGGGAGACUUUCGAGUCUGCCGGGUUUGAUUCUUCCUGGUCUGCGAACCCGCGCACAGUUGCCACCCAU